This 253-nucleotide ribosomal RNA is filed under the name uncultured bacterium. RNAcentral's name for it is "partial 16S ribosomal RNA". It matches the Rfam family "Bacterial small subunit ribosomal RNA", at positions 524 to 776 of the family's 1533-position model. The record is from RNAcentral.
UACGGAGGGAGCUAGCGUUAUUCGGAAUUACUGGGCGUAAAGCGCACGUAGGCGGAUUUGUUAGUCAGGGGUGAAAUCCCGGGGCUCAACCUCGGAACUGCCUUUGAUACUGCAAAUCUCGAGUCCGAUAGAGGUGGGUGGAAUUCCUAGUGUAGAGGUGAAAUUCGUAGAUAUUAGGAAGGACACCGGUGGCGAAGGCGGCCCACUGGAUCGGUACUGACGCUGAGGUGCGAAAGCGUGGGGAGCAAACAGG